AAUCAACGCUGGCGGCGUGCCUAACACAUGCAAGUCGAACGCGAAAGCCCGCAAGGGUAAGUAGAGUGGCGCACGGGUGAGUAACACGUGGACAACCUGCCUUCGAGUGGGGAAUAACCUUCCGAAAGGAGGGCUAAUACCGCAUAACACCUCGGGACACAAGUUCUGGGGUUGAAAAGAGCAAUUUGCUCGAAGAGGGGUCCGCGUCUGAUUAGCUAGUUGGUGAGGUAACGGCUCACCAAGGCUUCGAUCAGUAGCCGUCCUGAGAGGGAGCACGGCCACACUGGAACUGAGACACGGUCCAGACUCCUACGGGAGGCAGCAGUGGGGAAUUUUGGCAAUGGGCGAAGGCCUGACCAAGCAACGCCGCGUGGGUGAUGAAGUAUCUUGGUACGUAAAACCCUUUCGGCAGGGACGAACCUAAUGACGGUACCUGCGGAAGAAGCCCCGGCUAACUCCGUGCCAGCAGCCGCAGUAAC
Molecule: ribosomal RNA, 479 nt
Filed under: uncultured bacterium
Lineage: Bacteria
Description: bacterial SSU rRNA
Rfam family: Bacterial small subunit ribosomal RNA
Source: RNAcentral